AGGACUAACGCUGGCGGCGUGCCUAACACAUGCAAGUCGAACGAGGGGUAGCAAUACCCCUAGUGGCAGACGGGUGAGUAACACGUAGUCAACCUACCUCUUAAUGGGGGAUAACUAGCCGAAAGGUUAGCUAAUACCGCAUACGAUCGUCGAGUGGCAUCACGCGACGAUGAAAGGAGCAAUCCGUUGAGAGAGGGGACUGCGUCCCAUUAGUUAGUUGGUGGGGUAAUGGCCUACCAAGACUCCGAUGGGUAGCUGGCUUGAGAGAGCGACCAGCCACACUGGAACUGAGACACGGUCCAGACUCCUACGGGAGGCAGCAGUGAGGAAUUUUCCGCAAUGGGGGAAACCCUGACGGAGCGACGCCGCGUGUGGGAAGAAGGCCUUCGGGUCGUAAACCGACUGUCGAGGGGGACGAUAUUGACGGUACCCUGGAGGAAGCCCGGCUAACUACGCGCCAGCAGCCGC
RNAcentral lists this ribosomal RNA (468 nucleotides) under uncultured bacterium. RNAcentral describes it as "SSU rRNA". It matches the Rfam family "Bacterial small subunit ribosomal RNA", at positions 26 to 518 of the family's 1533-position model. The record is from RNAcentral.